CAACACACAUGUUUCUGCCCUGGCUCACUUAUACACACAGUUUGUAUUGAUGUCUCUGCUCACAUGAGGAAGAGCAAAGCGAGUUACCACAAUGGGAGAACACAAUCCUGGGCGUCUCGCUGCAAUAGUUGUGUCUGUGAUUGGCUACAUGAUCAGUUUGGUGUUUAAUGGAUUGUCUGUAGUUGGCCUUGGUCCAUAUUAUACCACCACUGGCAACGUGUCUGCUGUGUUUGACACCCAGAUCACACCCUCAGGAUGGGCCUUUAACAUCUGGAGUGUCAUAUACAUCUGGCUCACUGCAAUGAUCAUCUACAUUGUUGCAGGACUCUGCAGAAAGAAUGGAUAUGGAUACGUUUAUUGCAGCCCUGCGGUGUUGCCUUAUGGAUUCUUCAUCAGCUGGUGCUUCAAUCUGUGUUUUAAUAUUGGCUGGCUCAUCGUUUGGGACAGAGGCAUAAUGAUCGCAGCGCUGGUUUUCCUCAUCCUGGUCAUCUGCACAAACUACCUGAUGAUAUUCUUCACCUGCCACGGACUUCACGUGUAUGGGCCGUGGCUGAAAAAAUACCACAAUGCUGACCUGUGGUGCUUCCGUGUGUUGGUUCAGAAUGGUGUAAUGAUUUAUGCCACGUGGACAACAAUUGCAACACUGAUCAAUCUGACUAUUGUGCUGACGUAUGAGGUCAAAAUGACUCCUGAAGAUGCAGCAACCAUCUCUUAUGCAGUUUUGACAGUUGUGCUGCUGGGCUGGUUUGUUUUAGAAAACCUUGUGCUGGACAAGCAUGUGCGCUACAUCUGCAUCACCUAUCUUGUUGUGAUCUGGGCACUGUCUGGAAAUCUGGAUAAAAACUUUGAUGCAAAUUCGCCAAAUCGCAAUGGUGUCUUUAUCGCGGUGCUUCUGGCUUCAGCCUCGCUGUUGUUUGUGGUGCGGCUCAUUUUGGUCAUUUGGAGGCACAUCAAACUUCCGCUGUAUGACGACGUCAGUCCAGAAACCAUGGAGCCGAUGGAUAUUGGUCAGAAGCAGAAAAAAAUGUUUCGCUGAACCAUCUACAUCAUAAUAACACUGUCAUUCCAAGAUUUACUAUUGUAAUGUUUUUUUUUUUUUUUCAUAUUUGAUUGUUUAUUUAAGAUUUGUUUUUUAUGGAAAAGUUCUUCUUGUGUGUUGACGGUCUGUAGGCCU
RNAcentral lists this long non-coding RNA (1174 nucleotides) under Gouania willdenowi (blunt-snouted clingfish). RNAcentral's name for it is "lncRNA (ENSGWIG00000010955.1)". Lineage: Eukaryota; Metazoa; Chordata; Actinopteri; Blenniiformes; Gobiesocidae. The record is from RNAcentral.